Molecule: ribosomal RNA, 114 nt
Filed under: Diaphorina citri (Asian citrus psyllid)
Lineage: Eukaryota; Metazoa; Arthropoda; Insecta; Hemiptera; Psyllidae
Source: RNAcentral
ACCAGCGGCGUUAGAGCUUUGAAUGCACCAGUGCCCGAUGGAUCACUGAAGUUAAGCAACGUGGCGUCUUGUUAGUAUAAGGAUGGGUGACCAUCUGAUGGACUAUCACUGGAU